Molecule: long non-coding RNA, 1852 nt
Organism: Eucalyptus grandis
Lineage: Eukaryota; Viridiplantae; Streptophyta; Magnoliopsida; Myrtales; Myrtaceae
Exons: 5
Source: RefSeq, a predicted model, not a curated record
AGAAAUUACUAUCUUUAUUUAUUUAUUUUUUAGUCGAGUAUUGUGUCGAUGAUAAAAGGUGGAAGACUGAGGAUCCUUAGAGAUCACAGCCACGGGGGGGACUGUGUUGUCUGAGCAGUCAGAUCCGAAUUGAGUUCCAAGAGACAUUUCUGCAAUUCCGGGAUCUCGAAUUUCCGUAUUCAUCUUCUCUGUUUCCUACUUUCUUUUGAGGUUUUGCUCUGUCAAUCUCCAUUACUGCCUUUGUAUUAGGACAAUUCUCUCGAGAUGGAAGGCUGAGAAUCCGUGGAGAUCACAGCACUGGGGCGGACCAUGUUGUCUGAGGACUCCCAAGGUUCUACUCCGUCAAUCUCCAUUACUGCCUUUGUAUUAGGACAAUUCUCUCGACAUGGAAAGAAAAGAACCCACUCCUUGAGAAGAUCCGAUACACGGGGCAACUUCCUCAUUGACCUCUCCGCAUAGAGGUGACUAUGGAGGCGGAACACAGAGACCGAAAGGAAAUGAUCGCUACGUGUUCUUGAGCUGUAGAGGGAAGACCUUUAGCAAAUCUUUCUCCGAUGAUCUUUAUACUAGCCUUGAUCAUGCAGGAAUUGGCACGUUCUACAGUGUGCACCAAUCGGGUCGUAAGAUGGGUUCAAGGAUCCUCGACGAUCUUACGCAGUCUAAGAUCUCAAUCCCAAUUUUCUCGCUGUACUAUGCUUUCAGCCAAUCAGGUCUUCGUGAGCUUGUUCACAUAUUUUAUGGAGUGAGACCCUCGGUAGUGCAACAUGUUAAAGGGAGAUUUAGACAAGCUUUUUCUAGAUAUGAAGGUCGGGUGGACAAAAUGGAACUAGGGUGAUGGUUUUAUUUAUGUAGAUGGGCUUGGCCCGUCCGCCCAUGUUGGGCCUAAGAACCAGGCUCGCAAGAUUAGGGCCCAUGGAUGAAAGGGUGCAUUGAAGGGUUGCGUCUUUUGGAUGAGAUGUUAUGUUGAGGGGUUGCGUCCCUUGGAGGAGACGCUUUGAGGGAAAGGAAUAAAAAGGACGUACCUUUUGAGGGAACGCACGUCUUUCAGAAGAAAUGUUUUCUUCCCCCUCCAAACAACGUAAGAAGAGAACGCUCCAAGAAAAAAGAAAGUAUGUCUUUCAAAGUUUUCUUCCCCGUGAAGCAACAGUACACACCUUGGUAAAUCGGGAUCAGAUUCUUCCUCGAUUUUCAACAUUGGUGUUUAAUCUGUGGAUAAUAGGGAUUCAGGUAUUCCCAACAUAGGGGAAUGGAGAAGAGCGCUCGUCGAAGUCGGUUCCUUGAGAGGAUGGGCAACAGAGAACUUUGCCUAUGGGAAUGAAGGAGCAUUCAUUAAACUAGUUGUCACAAGAGUUGUAAGCUUGUUAAAAAGAACUUUCAAGCUUCCCAAAGAGUUGGUUGGAAUUGAUGAUCACGUGAAAUAUAUUAUGAGCUCAUCGAAUCCUAAAUAUAAUGAUACAAGGAUUAUCGGAAUCUAUGGAGUGUGUGGAAGUAGUAAAGACAACUCUUGCAAAGGUCCUGUGGAACAAUCUCUCUAGUAAUUUUGAACAUCUUAGCUUUGUACCAAAUAUUCAAGAAGUAUCACUACACAUGGGUAUUGAGUUCUUACAGGAAGAGCUCAUUUGCGAUAUACAAAGAAGUCCACAUACAGUAUCUAAUGUUGGUGAGGGAAUCGGCAUCAUUAAAUCUCAAUUUACAAGUAAGAAAGUCCUUGUUAUUCUUGAUGAUAUGGAUGAUGAUAUUCACCUAAAUGCCUUGGUUGGAGAUGGUAAUUGGUUAAAAGCAGUAAGUAUAGUCAUAAUAACUACUAGAAACGUGAGUAUUCUUGAUAAGGCCAAUGCAGACCCCAAGUACA